CAUCGUGAGGUGGAAUCUGAAGGAAGCCGGAUUGCGGAGGUUGAAAGGUCUACCGCAGGGCAAAGUUUCGGGCCGACGAACAGAAAUCUCAUAUAAGGCUGAAUAGGGACGGACGACCCUGCGCAGCAAGGAGAAGUCCAAUGCUACCCGAAUCCCUUACAGUAGAUGAGACGGCUGCGAGAUGAAGGUUAU
RNAcentral lists this non-coding RNA (192 nucleotides) under uncultured Faecousia sp. The record is from RNAcentral. Lineage: Bacteria; Bacillati; Bacillota; Clostridia; Eubacteriales; Oscillospiraceae.